RNAcentral lists this ribosomal RNA (322 nucleotides) under uncultured eukaryote. RNAcentral's name for it is "partial 18S ribosomal RNA". It matches the Rfam family "Eukaryotic small subunit ribosomal RNA", at positions 1470 to 1796 of the family's 1831-position model. The record is from RNAcentral.
CCCUUAGAUGUUCUGGGCUGCACGCGCGCUACACUGACACACUCAGCGAGUCGCCUGAUCUGAGAAGACCGGGCAAUCAUGUGAGCGUGUGUCGUGAUGGGGAUAGAAUAUUGUAAUUAUUACUCUUCAACGAGGAAUUCCUAGUAAGCGCGAGUCAGCAGCUCGCGCUGAUUACGUCCCUGCCCUUUGUACACACCGCCUGUCGCUCCUACCGAGGGGGUGAUCCGGUGAAUGAUUCGGACUUUGGCAUUGCUAUGUUUCAUAGCAUUGCUGGGGGAAGUCUUGUGAACCUUAUCACUUGGAGGAAGGAGAAGUCGUAACA